Molecule: long non-coding RNA, 1159 nt
Organism: Chenopodium quinoa (quinoa)
Lineage: Eukaryota; Viridiplantae; Streptophyta; Magnoliopsida; Caryophyllales; Amaranthaceae
Exons: 2
Source: RefSeq, a predicted model, not a curated record
AUUCAUCUUUCAAGAAACAAAUAGUAGAUGCAUAAAGGAGAAGGUUCUAAAUCCUAAUGAAAUAGAAAUUGAAAAAACUUGGGAAGAAUUCUUCAUGAAUCCUAUAGUAAAGAAUAGGUCAAGUAAGAUCAAGGCUGGCUAAGGACCUGCGCAAACAUGCCCUUAGCACAAGGCCCCCAAAUUCGGAGGGCCCAUAUUUGCGGAGUCCAAGCCUUAAGUUAAAAAAAAAAAAAGAAGAAGAAAAAGUCAGCAAUACUCACGUGAAAGAAAAAGCUCCAUUUACUUCAUUUGUCUAGAUUCAUCAUCUCUUUCCUUCGUAAAUUGCACCAUCAAGAUAGCCCCAACUUCCCAAAAUUUCUGAAAUUUUCUUUAACUUCCUUUCUUUGAAUCCUUUCUAUUUUGUCAUUUAAUUUUAUUGUUUUACCCCCAAAUUUUUAAUUUUCCAAAUUUAAUGUUUUGCCUUCAAUCAAUUCAAACCCUUAAUUUUCGUUCAUCAAGAAUUUUCCAACGGGUAGUAUGAAGAAUUUUUUCUCAAAUCUUGAAUUGCACAAUUAAACCCCUUAAUCUUCGUUUAUCAAACGAUUAAAUUUUUUAUCCCUUAUAAAUUUCAUUUCAAUAAUCUAUCUUUUUCAAUUACCUGUGUUCAUACAUUCGUACUCAAAUUACAUUUAGCUAUUAAAAAAAAAUUCAAUUAAGAAUACCAUAGUAAAAAUAAUUCAUGGAGUACAAGAGGUUAACAAGAAGAUUAGAUCCAAGGGAAUUGGUUGCGGCAAAUCAAGAAAUCGGCAAUCCUGUUUUACUUGUGGCCUUGCGGCUAUGUGAGUUCGCCGAGCAGACUUGUAGCAUUUGAUGAAUCAUCAAAUAACAAUGGCAAGUGGAUUAUGACAGUUGCUUCUGCAGAAAGAAGUUUUUCAAAAUUGAAGUUGUUGAAAUCUUACUUGCGGUCUACCAUGUUACAAGAACGACUUAAUGGAUUGACGUUGAUAGCUAUUGAAAAUGAUCUUUUGGAGAAGGUGAAAUAUGAAGAUAUGGUUGAUGAAUUUGCUUCAAAAAAUGCUAGAAGAAUAGCUAUGUUUAAAUAUUUUGAUCUUUUAAUAAUUAAGAUUGUAUUUUGAUAUUAAUCAUGUUAUUUACAAUUUAAAUAAAGUACUUUGUGUUU